ACUCCUACGGGAGGCAGCAGUGGGGAAUAUUGCACAAUGGGCGCAAGCCUGAUGCAGCCAUGCCGCGUGUGUGAAGAAGGCCUUCGGGUUGUAAAGCACUUUCAGUUGUGAGGAAGGAUGGUGUCGUUAAGUAGGUACUGGACAUUCAGCUUUAGAUCGAUUUUGAAGCCGAAACAAUAGGAAGGAAAGCCAACCGGGCAUGAACUCCCGGCUAGCCCAGCCAGCCGCGGUAAUACGGAGGGUGCGAGCGUUAAUCGGAAUUACUGGGCGUAAAGCGCAUGCAGGUGGUUUGUUAAGUCAGAUGUGAAAGCCCGGGGCUCAACCUCGGAAUCUUGACA
Molecule: ribosomal RNA, 338 nt
Filed under: uncultured bacterium
Lineage: Bacteria
Description: bacterial SSU rRNA
Rfam family: Bacterial small subunit ribosomal RNA
Source: RNAcentral